Molecule: ribosomal RNA, 875 nt
Filed under: Metapseudomonas otitidis
Lineage: Bacteria; Pseudomonadati; Pseudomonadota; Gammaproteobacteria; Pseudomonadales; Pseudomonadaceae
Description: bacterial SSU rRNA
Rfam family: Bacterial small subunit ribosomal RNA
Source: RNAcentral
UGACGCUGGCGGCAGGCCUAACACAUGCAAGUCGAGCGGAUGAGUGGAGCUUGCUCCAUGAUUCAGCGGCGGACGGGUGAGUAAUGCCUAGGAAUCUGCCUGGUAGUGGGGGAUAACGUUUCGAAAGGAACGCUAAUACCGCAUACGUCCUACGGGAGAAAGUGGGGGAUCUUCGGACCUCACGCUAUCAGAUGAGCCUAGGUCGGAUUAGCUAGUUGGUGGGGUAAUGGCCCACCAAGGCGACGAUCCGUAACUGGUCUGAGAGGAUGAUCAGUCACACUGGAACUGAGACACGGUCCAGACUCCUACGGGAGGCAGCAGUGGGGAAUAUUGGACAAUGGGCGAAAGCCUGAUCCAGCCAUGCCGCGUGUGUGAAGAAGGUCUUCGGAUUGUAAAGCACUUUAAGUUGGGAGGAAGGGCAGUAAGUUAAUACCUUGCUGUUUUGACGUUACCAACAGAAUAAGCACCGGCUAACUUCGUGCCAGCAGCCGCGGUAAUACGAAGGGUGCAAGCGUUAAUCGGAAUUACUGGGCGUAAAGCGCGCGUAGGUGGUUCAGCAAGUUGGAUGUGAAAGCCCCGGGCUCAACCUGGGAAUUGCAUCCAAAACUACUGAGCUAGAGUACGGUAGAGGGUGGUGGAAUUUCCUGUGUAGCGGUGAAAUGCGUAGAUAUAGGAAGGAACACCAGUGGCGAAGGCGACCACCUGGACUGAUACUGACACUGAGGUGCGAAAGCGUGGGGAGCAAACAGGAUUAGAUACCCUGGUAGUCCACGCCGUAAACGAUGUCGACUAGCCGUUGGGAUCCUUGAGAUCUUAGUGGCGCAGCUAACGCGAUAAGUCGACCGCCUGGGGAGUACGGCCGCAGGUUAAACUCA